GGCUGCGUUCUAACCACCGAGCUGCAGAAGUGCUACCUCCCAGACUGUGUCCUCCUCUGGCCUGGAGACAAAGCAGGCAGUAACCACAGGGCCUGCUGUCUCAUGAGGGCUCGGCCCACUCACGCCAGGGCUCCCGGGAGCAGGAAUUGCUGAGAUCGGGACACAGAGGCUCACAGGGGAUUAUGCACACUUCCAAGGUCACACAACUAAGAAUUGGGAGACCUGGAGUUUGAACUCCCAUAUCUCUAACUACAGAGCUAAAGGGCUUGGCACCUGCCCCAUACUGCCAAGGAUUACUGGCAGGGAGAUUAUGGAUCUGUGCUUUCAUGGCCAAAACUCUGAUGGUUUCUCGGAGGAUGUCCAUUGUCAUCAAUAUCAAUUGUGCAUCAUUCUCUGACAACACAGAGAGAAAGACAGAAUCACAAUGGCAUUCGAGUAGCUGAUCCCAGUCCUCCAGGUGUAACCCUUGCAUCUCCUACAAUUCAGUUAUAUAAACCAAUGAUUUCCCUCUUUUACCUGAGCUAGCUAGGGUUCCAUCGCCUGAGAUUAAAACAGUUCUAUCACAGUAUGCUCUAGAUUUUGGUUCAGCAGGGACAACAGGGAGUCCAUAGGAAUGCAGGUGUGGUAUGGCAUAGUGAAGGGAGUACAGGAGACAAGUUUGAGCUGGAGAGACCAGCAGGGAGCCCUUGCAGUGUGGACUAUGCCAGUGGUCUGGGGGGAGGUGAUGAGGGCUAGAACAGGGCAGGUGGUCACGGGCCAGUGGGGAUGGAGUCAAGAGAUGUUUCACUGAUACACAUUCUUAGACUUGGAGAUUGACUAAAACUGGGGAGCUGAUGGUCAUGCCAUUUGCUGAACAAGAAACCAAGGAGGCAGAGCAGACUCCAGGGAGGGGAGAAGAGGAGCAACGGAUAAUAAGCUCGACUGUGGGGUGCUGAGCGGUCCGACUGGGGGUGGCUCCUUUCAGCCAACACAAUAUGUUCUGGCACUGUGACGCAGGUGUGCUGUGCAGUCACCUGCUGCUCACAGCUUCAGCCUGACCCACUCAUUCUAACUUGUGCCUCACACCCUGUGUUUUCUUCUCUCAGUCACCACAUCUUAUUUUUGCCCUUGAACCACCCUGAAGAUG
Molecule: long non-coding RNA, 1126 nt
Organism: Fukomys damarensis (Damara mole-rat)
Lineage: Eukaryota; Metazoa; Chordata; Mammalia; Rodentia; Bathyergidae
Exons: 3
Source: RefSeq, a predicted model, not a curated record